UCUGGUUGAUCCUGCCAGUAGUCAUAUGCUUGCCUCAAAGAUUAAGCCAUGCAUGUCUAAGUAUAAAUAGUAUACAGUGAAACUGCGAAUGGCUCAUUAAAACAGUUAUAGUUUAUUUGAUAAUUGACAAUUACAUGGAUAACCGUGGUAAUUCUAGAGCUAAUACAUGCUUAAACGCCCGACUUUAUGGAAGGGUGGUAUUUAUUAGACUGAAGCCAAUAUUCCUUGUGUCUAUUGCGGUGAUUCAUAAUAACUGAUCGAAUCUCUUUUUGAGAUAAAUCAUUCAAGUUUCUGCCCUAUCAGCUUUCGAUGGUAGUGUAUUGGACUACCAUGGUAGUAACGGGUAACGAAGAAUUAGGGUUCGAUUUCGGAGAGGGAGCAUGAGAAACGGCUACCACAUCUAAGGAAGGCAGCAGGCGCGUAAAUUACCCAAUCCUGACUCAGGGAGGUAGUGACAAGAAAUAGCAAACCGGGAACCUCAUGGUUUCACGGUAUUGCAAUGAGAACAAUUUAAAACCCUUAGCGAGAAUCAAGUGGAGGACAAGUCUGGUGCCAGCACCCGCGGUAAUUCCAGCUCCACUAGCGUAUAUUAAAGUUGUUGCAGUUAAAAAGCUCGUAGUUGAACCUCUGUCUGGGGCUAGUUUUGGCUUUGGUCAGGCUAGUUCUAGGCAUCCGCCUACAAGACUUAGAGGGCAUUCAGUUGUUCACUAGGAGGAGUAGGCAUUUUACUUUGAAAAAAUUAGAGUGUUUAAGGCAGGCAAUCGCCCGCAUAUAUUAGCAUGGAAUAAUAGAAUAGGACACUUUUCCAUUUCGUUGGUUAUUGGAAUCGUGUAAUGAUUAAUAGGGACAGUUGUGGGCAUUUGUAUUUAAUUGUCAGAGGUGAAAUUCUUGGAUUUAUUAAAGACAAACUAACGCGAAAGCAUUUGCCAAGGAUGUUUUCAUUAAUCAAGAACGAAAGUUAGGGGAUCAAAGACGAUCAGAUACCGUCCUAGUCUUAACUAUAAACUAUUCCGACUCAAUGUUUGACUGGCUUAUAUAACCAGUUGAGCGUUGUAUGAGAAAUCAAAGUCUUUAGGUUCUGGGGGGAGUAUGGUUGCAAAGCUGAAACUUAAAGGAAUUGACGGAAGAGCACAACCAGGAGUGGAUUCUGCGGCUUAAUUUGACUCAACACGGGGAAACUUACCAGGUUAAAACAAUAGUGGGAUUGACAGUUUGAGAGCGCUUUCUUGAUUGGUUGGGUGGUGGUGCAUGGCC
This 1254-nucleotide ribosomal RNA is filed under the name metagenome. Its description in RNAcentral is "SSU rRNA". It matches the Rfam family "Eukaryotic small subunit ribosomal RNA", at positions 1 to 1289 of the family's 1831-position model. The record is from RNAcentral.